GAGCUCAGCAAUGAGCCAGAGGGCGAACUGCAAACUUUCAGAGGUCCUGGAGGCAGGCUGUGCGCUGCCCUCCCCAGCCGCGCGCGGGCGUGUGUGUGUGUGUAUGUGUGUGUGCGCGCGCGCGCGCCUGAGUGUGUAAGGGGCCGAGGCUGGAAAGGAAACCGGCCGCCUCGCGGAGAAGGAAGGAGCCUCCCCCUUCCUCGUCGCCCCCCUCCCCACUUCCCGUCCAGCUUGCUGUCUCUUCCCCCCUCCGCGGGCCUUUGGGCGCACGGAGCCUGCCCACCGCAGAGGAGCUGGAGGAGCUAGGGCGCAUGCUGGGCGGGGGACCCCAAGGCGCCCUGGCCGGUGGCGGCGGGGGCCGCGGUGCAGGUGGCCAGGAUUGCUUACCACCUGCGGCAUCCUUGCGGCGGCGGCGGCUGGCGCGGAGGCCCGGCUACAUGAGAAGCACAGCGGGGCCCCGGAUUGGGUUCCUCUACCCAGCAGUGGCCACUGCACUCCGUGCCCAGGGAGGGGCGUGCGGUGAGGAGUCCCACCAGUCUGAGUCCAGGGCCGGACGGGGUGGCCUUGAUCCUGGAGGCCAGUGGCGAGGCCCCUCGGUGGGCAGCCCUGUUCCUAGGAGCACAGCAGCCUCAGCUCCGACCCCUGUGGGAUACGGGGGCCUGGCAAGGACGCCUGCAAGAAGACCCUCAGGGCUCUUCGGGAUUCAGUUCCAAGUUGGCACCACACUGCCUGCCAGGCCGGCCAGGUCGUGUGGCCCUGGGGACGCAGGGUGGCAGGGCGAGCUCCCGUCCAUGGACAGUUCUGAGGCCCCCGGCACUGGCUGGGAUGCUGGUGGCGGUGAAAGAGCAAAAGACACCUGGACAAAAGGUCGUCUGUUCCCAGAGGAGGUGAAUGGUGACAGCUGUGGCCUCGGGAGUGAUCCCAGGGUCCCCUCAGCCCCGGGCAGCUCUCAGGACACCUUUACCUCAAGCUUUAGCUUCAUACGGCUCUCUCUUGGCUCUGCGGGGGAGCGUGGAGAAGCGGAAGGCUGCCCGCCCUCCAGAGAGGCCGAGGCCCCUUGUCAGAGCCCCAAGGACAUGGAAGCCAAGGCUGCCAGCCUGGACAGGCCCCACGAACACCCUCGACUUCUCUCUCCCCACUUCUAUCUCAAGACUACUCAGCGCCUGGCAGACUCUGCCCAGACUGCAGGGGGCAGCCACAGGCUGGAGAGGGAGAUGCCGACUUUGUUGGACGUGGACACCGUCUCCUGCUUCUCCCCGGGCCCCUCUGGGUCUGAGGGCAGCAGCUUGGGGGACGCUCAGCGCUGGGAGACGCUGGUCCGGAGGUGUGAGCCCGUGCUGCUGGACUGCCUGCUGAGCGACCAGAGGCGGCUGGAGGUAAAAUCCCUAAGAAUAAAGCUUCAGAAACUUCAAGAAAAGGCAGUUGAGGAUGAUGAUUAUGAUAAGGCCGAGGCGUUAAGACACCGGCUGGAGGAGCUGGACACAGAGAGGAGCAACCUGCACUUCCAGCUCCCGUCGAGGCAGCCGGCGCUCUGCAGCCUGCUGGGCCACCUGCACGCCCAGGUCCAAGCCGCCGAGCACUGCAGGGCCACUCCGCCGGCCUGCGGUGAAGACGCCCACGCCCCACCCAGGGGGGAGCCGAAGCUGUUGGAACCCAGCGCUCUGGACAGCCUGCAUGUGUCCGUCACCAGACGAGACUGGCUUCUUCAGGAGAAGCAGCAGUUGCAGAAAGAGAUCGAAGCUCUCCAAGCAAGAAUGUCCGUGCUGGAAGCAAAAGACCAGCAGCUGAGAAGGGACAUAGAAGAGCAGGAGCUCCUCCUCCGAUGGGAGGACUGCGACCUGCCCGCCCUGGUGUGCGGGCUGUCCCCCAGCGAGCUGCGGGAAGUCAGCGAGGCCUUGCGGGACACGUUGGCCUUAGCCAGCCAGAUUCCCCUCCGUGCAGAACUGCCUGAAACUCUCACGAGCCUCCAGGAACAGAUAAAAUCCCUCAACUUGUCCCUUAAGGAAAUCACUGCUAAGGUGUGUAUGAGCGAGAGACUCGGCAGCACUCUCAGGAAAAAAGUGAGUGACAUUGAAGACCAACUCCCGGUGUUGCUUGAAGCCAAAAUGCUGGCCGUCUCAGGAAACCAUUUCUCUACAGCCAAGGAGCUCACUGAGGAGAUUAGAUCAUUAACAUCAGAAAGGGAAGCGCUGGAGGGACUCCUGGACAAGCUUCGGGCACUGAGUUCCAGGAAUGUCCAAAAGCUGGGUGAUGUGAAGGAAGAUUACAGCAGACUGAGAAGACAGCUGGACGAGGGGGAGACCGCCUACGAAAUGAGUGUGAAGGAGAGUGCUCUGAAGUACAUGGAGAUGCUCGAGGAUAAGCUGUGUAGCUGCAAGUGUCCACUCCUUGGAAAAGUGUGGGGAGCUGACUUGGAAGCUUGUCGGUUGCUUAUCCAGAGCCUACAGCUCCAGGAGGCCACAAGCACACUGUCUGCGGAAGACGAGAAGCAGACAGAUGACUUAGUGGGAACCAUCUGUCCAUCCACUCUUGCCAUAUCCCCCAGGAUCCACUCUGAAGUUGAAAGGAAGACCCCUUUGCAGGCCUUCGAAGACUGGAAGGCUCACCCGAGUCCAUCUCUGUACUUUGCUGGCAGCGAACAGAAAGAGGAAUCUUGGCUCCUUUCUUCGGAACUUGGAGAAAAAUGUGAAGCCAUAAACAAGAAGUUACUGUACUUGGAAGAUCAGCUUCACACAGCCAUCCACAGCCAUGAUGAAGAUCUCAUUCAGUCUCUCAGGAGGGAGCUCCAGAUGGUGAAGGAAACUCUGCAGGCCAUGAGCCUGCAGCUCCAGCCGGCAAAGGAGGCGGGAGAGAGAGAGGCUACGGCAUCCUGUGUGACAGCUGGCGUCCGGGAGGUGCAGGCCUGAGGCGCAUGAUCUAAGGGAGCUAAUUAACCCCAGGAUCUGGAAUUAACAGCUUUUCACCUUCUCCUGAUCUUUGGACCCCGGACAGUUCUUGUCAUUUCCUGGAGUCACGCUGUUGUUUCCAGAAGGCAGCUGGUGCUUUGCUGAGUCUCCCGUGCUGGGCAGUACUUCUGUCCUCAAAGAGAUGCCCUGCUUCAGCCGGCAGCUGGCCAGCAUCCAGGGAACAAAGCAAAAGCACAGCAUGUGAAUUUGCUGCCUGUGUUUCAUCAGUUUUAUCUUGAGCAUUAAAAAAGUAUAUAUAUAUAUAUAUAUAUAUAUGUAUAUAUAUACAUAUAUAUAUACAUACUGUAUAUAUUUUAAUAAUAAGUGUAGUUGAUUUCUAGGAAUUCUUGUUUUUUUAAAUAAUGGACCAAAUUAGUGAAUUAUUUAUAAUCAUGUCUCAAAAAUAUUAUGUACUGGUCACAUGGCACUUGGAAUCUUCGAAUCCUUGGAUUAAUUCCAAUGGAGCCAAACUUGGCAAGAGUCAGGACUGACUGUAUUAGAAAUGACAAAUGUCUACUUUGAUAUACACCAUUUUUAAAAAGGCCCCUGGACACAAGACAGCCGAACGGUCACUAACCCAGUGUUUUGUGUGACUCAGACACCAUCAUGAAUACUUCUUUGAGGUCAUAAUGUAUUGGAACAUUUUGGAAGCUAACAAGAGUUGUAGGUAUACGCCAUGUGAGAGUUCUCUGGUACCUUUGGCUGGGCAGUGUGUUUGUUUCCUUGUUGAGACGCCUGAACAGGUCUAAGUAUCGGGGUAGGUGAAUGAUGCUUUAACCACAUGCUACCACCCCUCCCUGGUCUAUGCUGGCAUCAGAGUCAUCCAGGAAGCCUGAUAAAGGCCAGGAUGUAUCAUCUGGCCACACAGCCUCCUCAGGGCAAGUCCCCUCUUCAGCCACUGUGACCUCAGAAAACCCAGGACCGUGGGUCCCAAACCAGAAUAUGGGGCAGUUUUUGUCAGGGCUUGAAUUUAAAAGUGACCAAACCACAAUACGAACUGAAGCUUUUAUGGAGACAGUCAAGACUGCAAGCCAACGCGCCGACUGAAAAUGGCAACGUGGAGUCCGAUUUUGUCGUGACGCAGUGUGAGAGAAUGAAUCGCAGAUGACACUGCCCACUGGGUGGAGAGGCUGGUGUUCAAAGAUUUUAUUUAUUUAUUUGACAGAGAGAGACACAGCGAGAGAGGGAACACAAGCAGAGGGAGUGGGAGAAGGAGAAGCAGGCUUCCCGCACAGCAGAGAGCCUCAUGCGGGGCUCAAUUCCAGGACUCUGUGAUCAUGACCCGAGCCAAAGGCAGAUGCUUAUCUGAUUGAGCCACCCAGGCACCCCAAGGCUGGCAUUCAAACGGCUGCCCAUUCAUCUUCCACCAGCUUGGGGUAGGGCAUGUUCUUGCUCAGUAACCAUCCUAUGCCUUCCAACUUCCUGAAAUUUCAAGAUCAAAAUGAUCUUCCCUCAGAUCACGUUAGUAUGUAAUGCUGCAAACCUGUCAUCCUCUGUGGUGAGGCAGGUUUCCCCAGCCCGGGAGCAUGGAAGGGCCCCCCUUUGUGCACCGGGACUGUCCUAAGACCUUUAUAAUCAUCAUCUCAUUGAAUUCUCAUAUCGGCCGUAUGAGGUAGGUGUCUGUAGAUGACCAAACAGAGCCUUAGGAGACCAACGAACUUUCCUCAAGGCUCAGAGCUGGGAAGGGGUGGCGUGACAGUAGGGGUCAGACACAGUGGAAUGAAUGCAUCCUAAAGGGCCUUCAGGGUCGUUCUGAGACUUCGAGCCACAAAGCUUAUUCACUUAAGGAAACAUGGUCACCUUGGGGAUCGUGCUGGGGAAACCUCGGCUUCCCAUGCUCCCACCUAAGCCCCACUAUGCUGCAGUCAUGAUGUCUAGCUCACUGGGACAGGUUCCAACAGACACCCGCCCCCCGUGACCAACGUGCAUGCUGUCUUCACUGACCAUUCAUCCCCAAUCUACCACGAAAGCCACUCCAGGAGGGGCCUUUUACUGCCUGGCAAUGGGCAGAUUUUCUUGAAAAUCCCCAUUUGAUUUUUUUUAAAAAACAUCUGACAAAGCAACACUGUACCCCUUAGUCAAUGCCUCCUUGUAGAAGUGGUUCAGUACUUUCAUUUUUAAUAUCCGCACCUUAUCUCAUCUUUGAAUUUUGUCAUAUAAUUUAUUGCUUCAUAAAUGUUACUUUUGUUACAUGAAAUUAAAGCUGAUAUCUAAACCAUGGAGCACCUUUAACUUUUUUUUCUUCUUUUGGCCUCGAGUAUAGAUGAUAGAAAAAUUUAUCAGGUUUAUCCAUUUCAUCUCUUUGUUAUAAGGUGAUUGAUUGUACACUUACAUCACACAAAAUACUUCUAAUAAAGCAAUGCUUUAAAGUG
RNA transcript from Mustela lutreola (European mink), 5317 nucleotides. It is a transcript of the gene named DISC1 scaffold protein, with no coding region annotated. NCBI's taxonomy places the organism in Eukaryota, Metazoa, Chordata, Mammalia, Carnivora, Mustelidae. The transcript has 15 exons. The record is from RefSeq and is a predicted model, not a curated record.